RNAcentral lists this ribosomal RNA (520 nucleotides) under uncultured Glomus. RNAcentral's name for it is "SSU rRNA". It matches the Rfam family "Eukaryotic small subunit ribosomal RNA", at positions 569 to 1090 of the family's 1831-position model. Lineage: Eukaryota; Fungi; Glomeromycota; Glomeromycetes; Glomerales; Glomeraceae. The record is from RNAcentral.
AGCAGCCGCGGUAAUCCCAGCUCCAAUAGCGUAUAUUAAAGUUGUUGCAGUUAAAAGCUCGUAGUUGAAUUUCGGGAUCAAUUGAUUGGUCAUGCCUACGGUAUGUACUAGUCAUAUUGGUUCUCACCUUCUAAUGAACCUUAAUGUCAUUCACUUGAUGUUUUGGGGAAUUAGGACUGUUACCUUGAAAAAUUAGAGUGUUAAAGCAGGCUUACGCUUGAAUACAUUAGCAUGGAAUAAUGAAAUAGGACAUCGCAUUCUAUUUUGUUGGUUUCUAGGAUCGAUGUAAUGAUUAAUAGGGAUAGUUGGGGGCAUUAGUAUUCAAUUGUCAGAGGUGAAAUUCUUGGAUUUAUUGAAGACUAACUACUGCGAAAAGCAUUUGCCAAGGAUGUUUUCAUUAAUCAAGAACGAAGUUAGGGGAUCGAAGACGAUCAGAUACCGUCGUAGUCUUAACCAUAAAACUAUGCCGACUAGGGAUCGGAUGAUGUUAAUUUUUAAAAUGACUCAUUGCGGCACCUUA